RNAcentral lists this ribosomal RNA (876 nucleotides) under Okeanomyces marinus. RNAcentral describes it as "partial large subunit ribosomal RNA". It matches the Rfam family "Eukaryotic large subunit ribosomal RNA", at positions 84 to 1005 of the family's 3401-position model. Lineage: Eukaryota; Fungi; Ascomycota; Sordariomycetes; Microascales; Halosphaeriaceae. The record is from RNAcentral.
UAACGGCGAGUGAAGCGGCAACAGCUCAAAUUUGAAAUCUGGCGCCUGCGCCCGAGUUGUAAUUUGCAGAGGAUGCUUCCUGCGCGGUGCCUUCCGAGUUCCCUGGAACGGGACGCCAAAGAGGGUGAGAGCCCCGUACGGUCGGCAACCAAGCUCUUGUGUGGCACCUUCGACGAGUCGAGUAGUUUGGGAAUGCUGCUCUAAAUGGGAGGUAAACUCCUUCUAAAGCUAAAUAUUGGCCAGAGACCGAUAGCGCACAAGUAGAGUGAUCGAAAGAUGAAAAGCACUUUGAAAAGAGAGUCAAACAGCACGUGAAAUUGUUGAAAGGGAAGCGCUUGUGACCAGACUUGGGCCUGGUAGUUCAGCCGUCCUUCUGGGCGGUGCACUCUGCCGGUUCAGGCCAGCAUCAGUUGUCGGUUGGGGAGAAAGACGACGGGAAUGUGGCUCCUCGGAGUGUUAUAGCCCGGCGUUAUGCCCUUCCGGCGACUGAGGACUGCGCAUCUGCACGGAUGCUGGCGUAAUGGUCAUCAGCGACCCGUCUUGAAACACGGACCAAGGAGUCAUCCUGGCAUGCGAGUGUUUGGGUGUUAAACCCCUACGCGAAAUGAAAGUGAACGGAGGUGAGAGCUUCGGCGCAUCAUCGACCGAUCCUGAUGUUCUCGGAUGGAUUUGAGUAAGAGCAUGUCGGGCUGGACCCGAAAGAAGGUGAACUAUGCUUGGAUAGGGCAAAGCCAGAGGAAACUCUGGUGGAGSYUCGCAGCGGUUCUGACGUGCAAAUCGAUCGUCAAAUCUAAGCAUGGGGGCGAAAGUAAGUACAUUUUCUAUUAUUUAAUUUAGUUCGCGAUAGCGAAUCUUGAAAUGAAACAGAGUGCUAAC